AGUACAUUAUUUUCUUUAGGAAUGUAGUGAAGUAAAAGUAAAAUUUGUCAAAUUUAAAUAGUAAAGUACGGAUACCCCAAAAAACGACUUAAGUAGUAGUUUAAAGUAAUUUUACUUAAGUACUUUACACCUCUGCAUCAGACCCAUCUCUCUGUGAUGUUCCCUGUGGUUUCUGGCUCUCACACAAUAAACAACAAGGCCUCUGUUCUGUUUCUUACACAAACAUAAGAGGACCUGGUAGCUUAUUCUACUUAUUGCACUUUUGUGACCCCGUUGUCUGCAGAUCUACCAGAUCUACCUCAGCUCCUGUAGCUCCAGCCUGAGGGGCUCCCAUGGCCACCCUGUCUGUCCCUAUCCUCCUCUGCCUCUGUAAAGAUUAGCCUUGAAGUUGGUCUCCCCUCAGCCACAAAGCGCUGUUCUAUUGACUGGUUCCAGGGAGAGUAUUGAUGGCUCCAAAAUUUGGGCAAGGGAACACAAAAAGGCUGACCCCCGCUGGGCUCAGCACGACAGCCGAGUCAGCAGGGAGGCUUGCAUUUAUUAGCCUGGGAGAGGAGCUCCUGCAGAAUUAAAGCACAUUCACCCAUCCAUUGAUCUCUGUCACGAAAACAAUACCCGCCCCUCUCUGGCAGGGAGCUAGGCGCUGCACGGCUCUGAGGUAAUGUACUGUAGCAGCCAUUGAAAACAAGAUGCCUCACACCCUCGGGCUCCAAGUAAACUGUCUGAAAAGUGAGAGGAAUGGGAUGAGAAUAACACAUUGGAUUAUCAAUCCACCUGUCCAAUUGUGUUUGCAGUGAAUGGUGAAUAAAAUGUGGAGGGAUGUGAA
Molecule: non-coding RNA, 823 nt
Organism: Salmo salar (Atlantic salmon)
Lineage: Eukaryota; Metazoa; Chordata; Actinopteri; Salmoniformes; Salmonidae
Source: RefSeq, a predicted model, not a curated record